AGUAAUUUCAGUAAAAUUAAAAGC
Molecule: small nuclear RNA, 24 nt
Filed under: Arabidopsis thaliana (thale cress)
Lineage: Eukaryota; Viridiplantae; Streptophyta; Magnoliopsida; Brassicales; Brassicaceae
Description: snRNA_08266
Source: RNAcentral